CUACGGGUUGCAGCAGUGAGGAAUAUUGCACAAUGGAGGGAACUCUGAUGCAGCAACGCCGCGUGGAGGAUGACGCAUUUCGGUGUGUAAACUCCUUUUAUAUGUCAAGAAAAUGACGGUAGCAUAUGAAUAAGCACCGGCUAACUCCGUGCCAGCAGCCGCGGUAAUACGGAGGGUGCAAGCGUUACUCGGAAUCACUGGGCGUAAAGGACGCGUAGGCGGGUUGGAAAGUCAGGUGUGAAAUCCUACAGCUUAACUGUAGAACUGCACUUGAAACUUCUAAUCUAGAGUAUGGGAGGGGGAGAUGGAAUUAGUGGUGUAGGGGUAAAAUCCGUAGAUAUCACUAGGAAUACCUAAAGCGAAGGCGAUCUCCUGGAACAUUACUGACGCUAAGGCGUGAAAGCGUGGGGAGCAAACAGGAUUAGAUACCGCGUAGUC
RNAcentral lists this ribosomal RNA (438 nucleotides) under uncultured bacterium. RNAcentral describes it as "partial 16S ribosomal RNA". It matches the Rfam family "Bacterial small subunit ribosomal RNA", at positions 339 to 795 of the family's 1533-position model. The record is from RNAcentral.